Long non-coding RNA from Cuculus canorus (common cuckoo), 6320 nucleotides. RefSeq lists it as uncharacterized. NCBI's taxonomy places the organism in Eukaryota, Metazoa, Chordata, Aves, Cuculiformes, Cuculidae. The transcript is spliced from 7 exons. The record is from RefSeq and is a predicted model, not a curated record.
GCGACCGUUUUCCACAUGAGUGCCCCAAGUACCUGGAUAUCUUGGUCUCCUGUUUCAUGGAGACACUCACGAAAUACAUCCUUUGAGAGCUGAUGAUAAAUGAAGAGAGAAAGAGAAAGUUUUCUUCAGGAAGCCUGACAACUUCUUUAGUUGGAGAAAAUGUUUCCUUGAGGAAGAGCUAUGAGUUGUUUGAUUUUCCAUUGCAAAUACUAGAGCAAAGAGGAAGGGAAUGACUUGUCAAGUUCGGUAGCGGUGCACCUACCUGCAGUCCAGGGAGCUGCUUGAUCUGCUGCAGACCACUGGUGACACAUUCACAGCGAUUACAGAGACACCCCAGUCUUCAACCCAGUUUUGUUAUCUUCACUCUCACUUUCUCGAUGAGUGGCCACAGAAGCCCCAAGUCUGUGGGUAAAUGUUCUUGUUCACUGCUCGAACAAAGCAUUUGAAUUCAUACAUGGGAAAGGAAGUUUUCUUCCAGCCACUGGAAAAGCAGAGACAUUAACUGAAAAGCUUUUUGAAAGAAGUGACACUUGUUUGAGCAAUGCAGAGUCUUAAGAAAAGGAGCUGAAUUCAGUCAUGCCUCCCCCAAUGACGUCAGCUAAGAAAAGCACUUUCAGCCUGUUCCUACCUGCUGAGACCAUAUGUCCGCUGGGAAGAAUUUGGCAGACAUCUCCGAGUAGAAGUAAUUACAAGAGGCAGAAAUGGUCCUGAUAGCAGAAUUCAGGAGUUAUUUCUGUGCUGCCAGCUAACUGACCGUUGCUCCCAGGAAUGGAUCUGAAGGAAUGCUGGACCACGGUAUCCAUCAGAUGGACUCAAAACUGCAGCUUGGGAAGUGCACAAUUUGCAGCAAGAGGAGUAAUAACUCCAGAAAAGAAAGAGUGAAUAUUUGAAGGGCGAAGGUUUGAAAGAUAACAGAAGACAAAGAGAGAACUACGUUAGCCCUGGCUCCAAUCUGGUGAGCAAUCACAGAACAUAAGCCAUAGAUUUUAUUAAUCUUUUUUUUUUUUUUACAUAGAAUCAUUAAGGCUGGAAAAGCCCUCUAAGCUCAUAGAGUCCAAACAUCACCCAACCCCACCAUGCCUACUAAACCAUGUCCCCAAGUGCCACAGCCACACAUUUUUUGAAUCCCUCCAGGGAUGGAACCUUCACCACUACCCUGGGCAGCCUCUGCCAGGGCUUCACUGCUCUUCAGUAAAGACAUUUUUCCUCAUAUCCAAUCUAAACCUGCCCUGGCACAACUUGAGGGCAUUUCCUCUUGUCCCAUUGCUUGUUACUUGGGAGAAGAGCCCAGACCCCACCUCACCACAACCUCCUUUCCAGAAGCUGCAGAGUGUGACGAGGUCUCCCCUCAGCCUCCUCUUCUCCAGGCUGAACAGCGCCAGGUCCCUCAGCUGUUCCUCAUAAGAGUUGAACAAUACGAAUUUUGUAACAGCAUGGCUUAAAAACGCACAAUAAUAUCUUAGGACUUAAACCAAAAACUUUACCUUAUCUUUUCUCAGCACAGUAGAGCAAAAUGAUUUUUAGAACAUAAAAAACCUUUUGGAGAGAUAUCCUUAAUUUGCCAUUUGCCCACACUUCUCCUGCCCUUUGUCUGGAAAGGCCACACUGUCCCUGGUAGAUUUUUUUUCCCUUUAAUUUUAAGCUGCAAAGUAAACAUUGUAAGCUUGGCAGGAGAAGCUUGUAUGUAUUUCAGAGCAAUGUUUUGCAAUUCUUGUUUUUACAGCCAUAAACACCUUCUAAUGCCAGAGGGGAGAAGGACUUUAAUCCAGAUAAAAUAUGGUUCUUAAAGACUGAAAUCUGCACUCAGGUUUAUAGGCCAAUUUUAAUAUUUGAGCUCCUGAGCCAAGAGCUGCACAUUCCCUGUGUGCAGCACGGGGUGUUGCCUGACGGGCUGCUUCCAAGGUCAGAGCACAUCAGGCUGCUUCGCCCAGCCAGAGUUACCCCACCAUCUAUUCCAACAAAUACACUUGGAGUUUUGUUCUCAGAAUGUGUUUGCCAAAUAUUAUUUCCAUAUUUACUUUGCCUUUUAGCCUUACAUCUUUGAUUUUUUUUCUCUCUUGUAGUAUUUUUAUCCUGUAUUUUAUUUAACACCUUUUAAUAAGACGAAUUCUUACCAAGCGAGCACAACAACAUCUGAAAGAUGAAAUCUAUCUCUUUGAUGGUAUGAAACCAUGACCCAACAGGCCCGUCCUCUGCCUAGAGGGCUAGCAGAGCUUCAUGUUAGAUUAUUAAACCCUUUGGAAACUCGGCUAUGUUUAUUCAUAAUGCGAGGUAUCUAGCCGACAUCACAAUCCUUUCCUCUUUUGAGUGCAAAAAUAAUUUACAAUUAAAAGUAUUUGCCAUUUUGCUCUGCCUGAGCCAUGCUCCUUUUUUUAUUCCUGACGAGUUUCAGUUGACAUUUGCUUCUUUCUCUUUUUCCAAGUAGCUCAUUUGCUUUAGAGCUACAAAAUAUUUAAAUGAGAACAUACAACCAUGUCUCACAGAAACCAACAGGGCGUGCUGGUGCACAAAACUGUUCCCUACCUCCAACUAAAAGCAAACACGCUCCCCACCUCCCUCUGGUAGCUGCCUUUGCAAGAUCCUGCUGGCCAGUUCACUCCAUGCUGAAACUCCGACCCUUAUGCCUGUGGUUCCCAGAGGCCUCUGUCACGCAGAGCAUUCGCAGACUUUUUUAACCAAACAAGUGAAAAGUUGCUGCCACAGCAGUAAUGUUUGCCUGUCAACGGUCCAUCGUACACGGCACUCAUGAAGCAUUAAUUUUGAAUCUUGUUUAUUAGUCUUUCUAACAACUUUAAUUUUUAGCAUUACAUUUUCUUGAAAGUAACGGUUUGCAUUUUGCUCUUUGCUUUGUCCCUACCAGUUGCACCUGAAAUAUCAUCUAACUAUCACCAUGAUGGAGGGAAGAAGCCAGUCUACUUAUCUGGUUUUAUCCUUCCAUCCAAAGCCACCAUUCUAGAGACUUUCCGUGUCUUCUCUGGAACUGGUUGCUGGCAGUUUAAGCUUCACACAGCCAAAGCUGGACACCCUUUUUCCUGACUCCCUCACACUGCCUUCAUUAGUAAAGGCACCAUGCUACUAGUGUUCCUCUUGAUAACUAGUCAGGCUCCUUUGACACCUUCCCUUCUUUCACUGCUUGUUCCUCUGCUCAUACCACUCUCCACUGCUCUCACUCAGUUUCUGCUGCUACUCCAUCCAUAACAGUAAAAGAUGACCUUUUCUCUUUCCAGACAGUAAAAGCCCUUGUCUAGGCUCCUUGUACCUGCCAGGGUUUUCUUUCUCACCUCCCUUCCAUCUUUUACAACCCAGAGAACAAGGAACUAUGGAGAAAAUUUAAUGGCUAUAAAUUGGACGGGGCAGAUUUAGAUUAGACAUAAGGAGGAAUUUCUUCACAAUGAGGGUGGUGAGGCCCUGGCCCAGGCUGUCCUGCCCCAGAGGUGUUCAAGGCCAGGCUGGAUGGGACCUUGGGCAGCCCGUGGCAGGGGGUGGAACAGGAUGGGCUUUAAGGUCCUUUCCAACCCAGACCAUUCUAUGAUUCUAAGAUUCUAUGAUAAUUUGUUCAUUUUUUCAUUACAUAGAAGCAUGUUCUUUUAACUCAUUGUGCAGCUUCACAUCUGCUGCACGAAUCAGCUCAAAUGUCUCAUUCCCGUCAUUAUGACUCACCUAUUAACUUGAUCUUUUUCUCUUUUCACUUUCAUAAUGACGUGACCUUCAGUUAAUCUAAGUCCUCUACAACAGUUUGCAGGUUUCUUUCAGCAUUAUCUUGUAGGUGUGAAAACUUCCUCAAAUUGGCUGUCUGGGUCAUUUAUCUUUCCUCAGACUGCUCCUCCAUACGUACCAUUAGCAAAGUAUUGGUAUGAGCAGAUAAAAUAAUUGUCAAGGAGUUUCCAUUCUUCAGAACUCUCAAGCGGUUUGCUCUAACACUGACCUCUGCCAUGGGUGGGCUUUUCUGAACCCCCUAACAAUCCUGGCACUGAGCCAGUUGUGCCUUGUGAGGAGCUUCUUCGUGUCUUGGUGACAUCAACAGAUUCAGUCGACAGAAGGUAUUUAUUUGUGAAAGGCAUUUGCAAACUCUCUGCAGUAUAACCGCUGUGGGGUCCAGCAUCACAGCCGGCAGCAGCCUACAUUUGGUCUUUUUCUCCUCCUGGAAAAAGAAAAGAAGCAGAAGCCCUGUGCUGUCCCAGCAGACUGCGGCUGCUGCUGCGUGUCGAAGGACAGGGCUUAGAUCCUUCUGAACGAUGGCACUGUAAUGAUCUCAGCUUCAGCUGGGGAGGUUUGGAGUCAUACAGGAUGUGCUGGACUUGCUCCUGUGCGCUAUACAAAAAUCCAUGUUAUUAAUUUUGAUUAAAAAUAUACUUUCUAUAGCUAUUUUCUGUACUUAAGAGUGGCUGUGAACAGACUGCGUGGAUCUGUCUGGCAAUAUGAAUUGAUAACGAUGGUGAGCAAGGAUGACUCAUUCAAAGACCGUGGUGUAAUCACUAGAAGGACUCAAACCGUGGGCCUGAGGAACGACUUCUCCACAAGCACAGCUAUUACUUACCUACAAACUUUUCCUCUUAUGUAGAAGAACCUAUCUCUUCAGAAAAUCAAUGUCUUGUUUCGAAACUCAGCAUAAGCAACACCUGCUGGUGAAAAAAACGCCUAUGAAACUGCUGAGCCAUCCUCCUGGAAGAACAGGUUUGAUCAUCACUGUGAGCUCUGGGUAAGCUGGUGUAGAAAAGGAGCUUGCCUAUCGCUGUUUGGAGUUAUUCUGCAAGAGCAGGUAACUGGCUCCUUCCCAGAGUGCCCAUCAGCUCCGUAGGGUGAAAACUAAGUGUGACCCAGCUGAUCUCCAGCAGCCUGGAAACUCUUUUCUGAUUCUGAGAGGUAGUCUUGCAGCUUGCGAGUUAAUGCAUUGGUGGAAUGGAUUAAAAGAUUCCUGACUCUUGCUAGUAGGGAAACAUGGUUAUUUUGUUAAAGAAGGAAACCUGAUGUAAUUGUUCAUGUUCAUUGAUCAAAUUUCAAAAAGAAGUAAAAGAAAAGAGGGGAUAAAAAAUACCCUGAGUUGAGAAACACGUUCUGCUGCAUACCAUCCGGGGUAAUUACACAUGAGCAAGUGUCACUCGUCUGUGAUAGCUGCAACAAUUUCUGGUUUAAGUAACACUAUUGUCAGGCAGCAAAGGAGCUUCCCUGGUUCAGUGCGGUGAAGUGAACUAUCAGACUGUAAUGGUUUCUCUUGUCUACGAACACCAAAUAUAAUAUAAAGUCAAGUAACUGGCAAUCUACUUCAAGAGAUGCCAUCUUUUUCAGUUUAAGGACAAAAUCAACUUGGCAAUGCUGGGACGUGGUCAAGUAGCCUUUCACAAAGGCGAGCAACAACUCUUAAACUUCAGAACAUUGACCCAUCAGAGGCCCAGUCUUUGCAGGACACAGUUCCUGUUUGGAGUGACAGAGAAGGGAACGGGGCGUGAUGGAUGGGAUUUGUCAGGUGGAGAACGCACGUGGUGGGAACACCGGUCGGGGUGGAAAUUUUCUCUUGGCCUGGAUUCUAUUGCUCACUCUGCAGACGCAGUUCCACUCUGCAGCCGCGGUGCCCAUUCGUAGCAGAGAUUUGUUACCGCGAGGGGAGUGCAAACAAACGCCAUCCAGGCACUGGAACAGAUGCUAAUCUUAAUUUAUUACAAAGAGAAGUAAAUGGCAAAAAAAGAUGCCUAAGUAAGAUUAAAAUCACAAUGAGGAAAGCCGCUGCCAGGCAUGGCAGGAGGGCUUUUCCCACUGAACUGAAUCACUGGGAAAGUGCUCUGUUUCUGCAUAGAAUCUGCUGUUGAGUUCCGCGAGUCCCGAAUGACGCUCAUCAUUUCGCUUUGUGUCACCCAUGGACACCUCUGUCCACAGGGAACAUGGGGCCAGCGAACUCGCCCUGCCUGGGAUCCAAGGGCCACUGGGGACCCAGGGGAUCACUGGGGGGGCACUGGGGACCCAGGGGAUCACUGGGGGGGCAUUGGAAAUCCAGGGGAUCAUUGUGGGGGUGUCAUUGGAGACCCAGGGGAUCACUGAGGGGUCACUGGGGGCCCAGGGGAUCACUGAGGCUGGAAAAGCCCUCUCUGCUCAUCCAGUCCAGCCGCUGAGCCUCGUCCCCGCUGCCACAGCCUCUCCGUUUAUUUUAAACAAAGCGUUUCCUAUUCGUUCGGGCCGUGCCCGUCCUCUCUUCUCCAGACCGUGGAUUAUCUCCGUUGCUUUAUUUAGGUGUCGGGGGUUCCCCGGUCCCUUUGACGCUUUCCCCGCGCCCAGCGGAGCUGCUCUACGGCCCGGGACGCCCCGAGUCCCGCCCACGGGCGUCCCCG